This 388-nucleotide ribosomal RNA is filed under the name uncultured Chrysophyceae. RNAcentral's name for it is "partial small subunit ribosomal RNA". It matches the Rfam family "Eukaryotic small subunit ribosomal RNA", at positions 30 to 432 of the family's 1831-position model. The record is from RNAcentral. Lineage: Eukaryota; Chrysophyceae.
GCUUGUCUCAAAGAUUAAGCCAUGCAUGUCUAAGUAUAAACAAAUUUAUAGUGAAACUGCGAAUGGCUCAUUAUAUCAGUUAUAGUUUAUUUGGCGAUAAAAACUACUUGGAUAACCGUAGUAAUUCUAGAGCUAAUACAUGCAUUAAACCCCGACUUCUGGAAGGGGUGUAUUUAUUAGAUGGAAACCAAUGCGGGGCAACCCGGAAUAUGGUGAUUCAUAAUAACUUUCGGAUCGAUUUAUCGAUGCAUCAUUCAAGUUUCUGCCCUAUCAGCUUUGGAUGGUAGGGUAUUGGCCUACCAUGGCUUUAACGGGUAACGGAGAAUUAGGGUUCGAUUCCGGAGAGGGAGCCUGAGAAAUGGCUACCACAUCCAAGGAAGGCAGCAGG